GAUAAGAACGCAGCGAAAUGCGAUAAGUAAUGUGAAUUGCAGAAUUCAGUGAAUCAUCGAAUCUUUGAACGCACCUUGCACCCUUUGGCAUUCCGAAGGGUAUGCUCGUUUGAGUGUCAUUGUACUCUCACUCUCCCGAUGCUUUUGGAUCGGGAGUGGUGGACUUGGGUGUUGCUGCUUUGCUGUGGCUCGCCUCAAAUGGAGUAGUGCAACUCUUGGUUGGACAUAGUACGGCGUGAUAAGUGUCUUCGCCGGCGCCUCAUUAUAGAGGGUGGCCGAUCGGGAGCUCUGUGCUUCAAACCGUCUUCGGACAACAUCUGACAACUUGACCUCAAAUCGAGUAGGACUACCCGCUGAACUUAAGCAUAUCAAUAAGCGGAGGA
RNAcentral lists this unclassified non-coding RNA (383 nucleotides) under soil metagenome. Its description in RNAcentral is "partial contains 5.8S ribosomal RNA, internal transcribed spacer 2, and large subunit ribosomal RNA". The stretch from base 4 to 119 matches the Rfam family "5.8S ribosomal RNA", at positions 39 to 154 of the family's 154-position model. The record is from RNAcentral.